ACGAGAGUUUUUAACUCAAGUGGCGGACGGGUGAGUAACACGUAAGAAUUUGCCUUUAGGAGGGGGACAACAACUGGAAACGGUUGCUAAUACCCCAUAUGCUUUCGAGUGAAAUGGAUUUUUCCGCCUAAAGAGAAGCUUGCGGCUGAUUAGCUUGUUGGUGAGGUAAUGGCUCACCAAGGCGACGAUCAGUAUCUGGUUUGAGAGGACGAUCAGACACACUGGAACUGAGACACGGUCCAGACUCCUACGGGAGGCAGCAGUGGGGAAUUUUCCGCAAUGGGCGAAAGCCUGACGGAGCAAUACCGCGUGAGGGAUGACGGCCUAUGGGUUGUAAACCUCUUUUUUCAGGGAGGAAUCAAAUGACGUGUACCUGAAGAAUAAGCAUCGGCUAACUCCGUGCCAGCAGCCGCGGUAAGACGGAGGAUGCAAGUGUUAUCCGGAAUCACUGGGCGUAAAGCGUCUGUAGGUGGUCCAAUAAGUCAACUGUUAAAUCUUGAGGCUCAACCUCAAAAUCGCAGUCGAAACUAUUAGACUAGAGUAUAGUAGGGGUAAAGGGAAUUUCCAGUGGAGCGGUGAAAUGCGUAGAGAUUGGAAAGAACACCGAUGGCGAAGGCACUUUACUGGGCUAUUACUAACACUCAGAGACGAAAGCUAGGGUAGCAAAUGGGAUUAGAUACCCCAGUAGUCCUAGCCGUAAACAAUGGAUACUAGAUGUUGAACAGAUCGACCUGUGCAGU
RNAcentral lists this ribosomal RNA (740 nucleotides) under uncultured cyanobacterium. Its description in RNAcentral is "bacterial SSU rRNA". It matches the Rfam family "Bacterial small subunit ribosomal RNA", at positions 66 to 844 of the family's 1533-position model. The record is from RNAcentral. Lineage: Bacteria; Bacillati; Cyanobacteriota.